UGGUAGUGUAUUGGACUACCAUGGCGAUCACGGGUAACGGGGAAUUAGGGUUCGAUUCCGGAGAGGGAGCCUGAGAAAUGGCUACCACAUCUAAGGAAGGCAGCAGGCGCGUAAAUUACCCAAUCCUAAUUCAGGGAGGUAGUGACAAGAAAUAACAACUCGGACCUCACAUGAGGUUACGGGAUUGCAAUGAGAACAAUUUAAACCACUUAUCGAGCAACAAUUGGAGGGCAAGUCUGGUGCCAGCAGCCGCGGUAAUUCCAGCUCCAAUAGCGUAUAUUAAAGUUGUUGCAGUUAAAAAGCUCGUAGUUGAAUUUCUGGCCAGCGCUGUUCUUGGCUCUCUGAGUCGGCUCAGUGUUUGGUCAUCCGUAUGGGAAGCUAGCUCGGCCUUCACUGGUCGGCUAGUGGAUCAUACACUUUACUUUGAAAAAAUUAGAGUGUUUCAGGCAGGCAAUUGCUUGGAUACUUCAGCAUGGAAUAAUGGAAUAGGACUUUGACCUAUUUGUUGGUUUCUUCGAGGUCAAGGUAAUGAUUAAUAGGGACAGUUGGGGGCAUUCGUAUUUAAUUGUCAGAGGUGAAAUUCUUGGAUUUAUUAAAGACGAACUUAUGCGAAAGCAUUUGCCAAGGAUGUUUUCAUUAAUCAAGAACGAAAGUUAGGGGAUCAAAGACGAUCAGA
Molecule: ribosomal RNA, 676 nt
Filed under: uncultured ciliate
Lineage: Eukaryota; Ciliophora
Description: SSU rRNA
Rfam family: Eukaryotic small subunit ribosomal RNA
Source: RNAcentral